AGUUGUGAAAGCAACCUGACGGUACCAGAGGAAUCAGCAUCGGCUAACUCCGUGCCAGCAGCCGCGGUAAGACGGAGGAUGCAAGCGUUAUCCGGAAUGGUUGGGCGUAAAGCGUCCGCAGGUGGCAGUUCAAGUCUGCUGUCAAAGACCGGGGCUUAACUUCGGAAAGGCAGUGGAAACUGAACAGCUAGAGUAUGGUAGGGGCAGAGGGAAUUCCUGGUGUAGCGGUGAAAUGCGUAGAGAUCAGGAAGAACAUCGGUGGCGAAGGCGCUCUGCUGGACCAUAACUGACACUCAGGGACGAAAGCUAGGGGAGCGAAUGGGAUUAGAUACCCCAGUAGUCCUAGCCGUAAACGAUGGAUACUAGGUGUUGUCUGUAUCGACCCGGACAGUGCCGUAGCUAACGCGCUAAGUAUCCCGCCUGGGGAGUACGCACGCAAGUGUGAAACUCAAAGGAAUUGACGGGGGCCCGCACAAGCGGUGGUCGACGCGAAGAACCUUACCAGGACUUGACAU
Molecule: ribosomal RNA, 515 nt
Filed under: uncultured Microcoleus sp.
Lineage: Bacteria; Bacillati; Cyanobacteriota; Cyanophyceae; Oscillatoriales; Microcoleaceae
Description: bacterial SSU rRNA
Rfam family: Bacterial small subunit ribosomal RNA
Source: RNAcentral